This 253-nucleotide ribosomal RNA is filed under the name uncultured bacterium. RNAcentral describes it as "partial 16S ribosomal RNA". It matches the Rfam family "Bacterial small subunit ribosomal RNA", at positions 524 to 776 of the family's 1533-position model. The record is from RNAcentral.
UACGUAGGGUGCAAGCGUUAUCCGGAAUUAUUGGGCGUAAAGAGCUCGUAGGCGGUUUGUCGCGUCUGCUGUGAAAACCCGAGGCUCAACCUCGGGCCUGCAGUGGGUACGGGCAGACUAGAGUGCGGUAGGGGAGAUUGGAAUUCCUGGUGUAGCGGUGAAAUGCGCAGAUAUCAGGAGGAACACCGGUGGCGAAGGCGGGUCUCUGGGCCGUAACUGACGCUGAGGAGCGAAAGCAUGGGGAGCGAACAGG